RNAcentral lists this ribosomal RNA (1053 nucleotides) under Hynobius nebulosus (clouded salamander). Its description in RNAcentral is "partial 16S rRNA". It matches the Rfam family "Bacterial large subunit ribosomal RNA", at positions 861 to 2594 of the family's 2925-position model. The record is from RNAcentral. Lineage: Eukaryota; Metazoa; Chordata; Amphibia; Caudata; Hynobiidae.
UAAAUGAACUUAAAUUCAACUUAAAAUAUUUUUAAACAAACUAAGUAAAAAAUAGUAUUUUAAAGUUAAUUAAUGGAGGUUCAGCUCUAUUAAUAAAGGAUACAACCUAAAAUAAUGAAUAAUGAUUAUAAUGACUAAAGAAAUUAACUAUGUAGGCCUAAAAGCAGCAAUCAAAAUAAAAGCGUUAAAGCUUAAUUUAAUAAAUCUUAUUAUAACAAUAAAUAAUCUUAAUUCACCAAAACUAUUAAGUCAAUCUAUUUUUAUAGAUGUGAUUAUACUAGAAUGAGUAAUAAGAAUAUAUUCUCUUAGUGCAAGUGUAAAUCAAAACGAAUAUUUCACUGAUAAUUAACGAACCUUUUGAGGGAAAAAUAAUACUUUACAAGAAAAAUUUAUUCUACCUAUCGUUAACCCAACACAGGAGCACACUAGAAAGAUUAAAAAUAUAGGAAGGAACUCGGCAAACAUGAACUUCGCCUGUUUACCAAAAACAUCGCCUCUUGCAACUAAGGUAUAAGAGGUCCUGCCUGCCCAGUGACAUUAAGUUCAACGGCCGCGGUAUUAUGACCGUGCAAAGGUAGCGUAAUCACUUGUCUUUUAAAUAAAGACCAGUAUGAAUGGCAAGACGAAAGUUCAACUGUCUCCCUAAAUUAAUCAAUGAAAUUGAUCUUUCCGUGCAGAAGCGGAAAUAAAACUAUAAGACGAGAAGACCCUAUGGAGCUUUAAAUAUAUAAUCAAUUGUAUAACAUAAAAUCCGAAAGAUUAAAUAUAAAAUAAAACAAUAUGAUUAAAAUUUUAGGUUGGGGCGACCACGGAGAAAAACAAAACCUCCGAGAUGAAAAGAAUAUCUUAAUUCAAGAACUACAGUUCCAAAAAAUAAAAUAUUUAACAUAAUUGAUCCAAUAUGUUGAUCAACGAACCAAGUUACCCUAGGGAUAACAGCGCAAUCCUCUCCAAGAGUCCCUAUCGACGAGUGGGUUUACGACCUCGAUGUUGGAUCAGGACACCCCAAUGGUGCAGCCGCUAUUAAAGGUUCGUUUGUUCAACGAUUAAAGU